UACAGAGGUCUCAAGCGUUGUUCGGAUUCAUUGGGCGUAAAGGGUGCGUAGGCGGCGCGGUAAGUCGGGUGUGAAAUCUCGGAGCUUAACUCCGAAACUGCAUUCGAUACUGCCGUGCUUGAGGACUGGAGAGGAGACUGGAAUUUACGGUGUAGCGGUGAAAUGCGUAGAUAUCGUAAGGAAGACCAGUGGCGAAGGCGGGUUGCUGGGCUGACACUGACGCUGAGGCGCGAAAGCUAGGGGAGCGAACGGG
This 253-nucleotide ribosomal RNA is filed under the name uncultured bacterium. RNAcentral's name for it is "partial 16S ribosomal RNA". It matches the Rfam family "Bacterial small subunit ribosomal RNA", at positions 524 to 776 of the family's 1533-position model. The record is from RNAcentral.